Gemmatimonadetes bacterium SCN 70-22 is the source of this 71-nucleotide non-coding RNA. Lineage: Bacteria; Pseudomonadati; Gemmatimonadota. The record is from Rfam.
UGGCCCUUCGUCCAAUGGCAGGACAUCAGACUUUGGAUCUGAGAAUGGUGGUUCGAAUCCACCAGGGCCAA